Molecule: long non-coding RNA, 892 nt
Filed under: Camelus dromedarius (Arabian camel)
Lineage: Eukaryota; Metazoa; Chordata; Mammalia; Artiodactyla; Camelidae
Description: lncRNA (ENSCDRG00005005719.1)
Source: RNAcentral
GGCCGUGUGAAAAUCUCACGGUUUGGGUGGAGAGGACACAAGUCGUCCUGGGGCCCGUGUCAGCCCCGCUGUCCUGCCCCCUUCCUCCCAGCAGAACUGAAGGGCUUCCCUCCCGGGUUCUCAGAGUCACUGGAGCCAAAAUCAGUGGGAGGGUCCACACCAGGGCUGCCCCUCCUCCCUGAUGGAGCCCUGGCGGUGGGUCCUGAGACUUGGCAGGACCAGGGCUGGUGCUUGGCCGGAACGCUGAAGGGGGUGAGGAGGAAGCAGCCCUGUGCUCACACACACCUCCACCCCGGCAGGCAGCGUGGCCCACCACCCUCAGCACCUCAGCCUGACGCCACGUCGCUCCAGCGAACCCCAGGCUCCCAGGAUCCCAGCGCUGCGGCUCCCCUGUGAGGGGUGGACCGGGAGCCCAGCGCCCCCAGCGGCCAGCGGAGCGGGGAGAGGGGUGGCACCCAGGCCCCCCAUCAGCAUCGCGGGCCUGCUGCAGAGGCAGCAUUUAAGCAAGUGCUGCUUUGAAAAGUAAACGCUUUUCCCUGAAAUGCACGUGUGAGAAUGUCUGUGUGGUGAGAGCAGACACGAGACUGGAACUUGGAACGUUCUUAAGAAUCGUGUUCUGAGCGUCUCGGUGGUUUGGAACCGGUGGUGUCCGCAGUGAAUCCCACGUGGGUCAUGCUCUGGACACCUCCUGCAGGGUCUGCCGGCCUCAGGGUUCAGGUGCGGGAGUGAGAGGCCCCGCGUGCCCUCAGUCACGUCACAGCGCUGGCAAGUCCCUCGCGCAGUGGAUAAACAUCUCGGCCUUCAGAUGCCAGCGCUGGGGUGGGACGGGCACCACCUGUGGCCUCCCUGCUGGCUGCGUCUGGUCGCGACUUGGCUCCUGUUCAGCAGCAGU